CGGACGGGUGAGUAACGCGUGGGCAACCUGCCCCAUGCCGGGGGAUACCGCCUGGAAACAGGCGCUAAUACCGCAUAAGCGCAUACAGCCGCAUGGCAGUAUGCGGAAAGCUCCGGCGGCAUGGGAUGGGCCCGCGCCCGAUUAGCCAGUUGGCGGGGUAACGGCCCACCAAAGCGACGAUCGGUAGCCGGCCUGAGAGGGCGGACGGCCACAUUGGGACUGAGACACGGCCCAAACUCCUACGGAAGGCAGCAG
RNAcentral lists this ribosomal RNA (255 nucleotides) under uncultured bacterium. RNAcentral describes it as "partial 16S ribosomal RNA". It matches the Rfam family "Bacterial small subunit ribosomal RNA", at positions 99 to 354 of the family's 1533-position model. The record is from RNAcentral.